RNAcentral lists this long non-coding RNA (291 nucleotides) under Ricinus communis (castor bean). RNAcentral describes it as "long non-coding RNA (RCOM_LNC003256)". The record is from RNAcentral. Lineage: Eukaryota; Viridiplantae; Streptophyta; Magnoliopsida; Malpighiales; Euphorbiaceae.
AAAAAUGAAAAAUCGUGUAGAUCAAGUAAAGGGCAGCUGAGAAUGUUGGUAACAUAGACCAAAUUACUAAGGCUACAAUCACAUGUUUUGGACUAGUAAAUAUAUAUUGUUUUAGUAGUUUAAUGGGAUUAUAUAUGAACACUUUUAGGGUUGGUGGGUACUGAAAAAGGUUUAAUUUUCUUAAAAAGUUUCAAAUGUUUUGGCGUGUGAAUUAUGGCACUGGCUUGUAAUUGCCUACUCAUAGUAAUAUAGUCUACUUGCCUUGGUUUGUACUUAGUAGCACAAGUAAAC